This 84-nucleotide transfer RNA is filed under the name Pleurotus eryngii. It matches the Rfam family "tRNA". From Rfam's summary of the family: Transfer RNA (tRNA) molecules are approximately 80 nucleotides in length. Their secondary structure includes four short double-helical elements and three loops (D, anti-codon, and T loops). Lineage: Eukaryota; Fungi; Basidiomycota; Agaricomycetes; Agaricales; Pleurotaceae. The record is from Rfam by way of RNAcentral.
CCCUCGGUAGCUCAGUUGGAAGAGCGUGGGACUGUAAUGGAUACUUUCAUCCCAAGGCCACUGGUUCGAUCCCGGUCUGAGGGA